AAACACGUGGAGUACCGGAAGUGCUGAUUUGUGUUAACGUGUUUGACAUUUAGUACCGUUACAUUUUCUAAUAAGCGUAAUGAAUUCCGUUUUAGUUGAUGCUCUUUUAUUGCAGUGCCACGACCCAUGCGCUCUGGUCGAGAUUUUAAGCUGGGAUUCAAAAUGUGACAGUAUACCAGAAAGAGAGACGGUGGACGCUUUGCAUUUUGCUAUCAAAAAAGUAAAGAGCCUGCAGCAGCAGCAGAUGUUCGAAGUAGGGGACAAAGCAGAUGAUAACCUCACAGUAAAGUGGAUACCUUUUCGUAAGAAGCUGGAGGAUAUCGUUUGCAGUCGAUGUUUGCCGCUGCUGAGUAAACUUUGUUAUACAGAAGAGCAGAACAAUGGUGCUCUUAGUAGAAAUGCGGGUCUGAUGCGCGCUCUCUGUGAUUUAAUCAGCUGCUGUGCCGAACUGUGUGGGAAUGACCUAACUGAAAAACUCGCCGCUGUCGCUGUGCCUGUGCUCCUGUCAUCCGGCGAUAACGAGAGUCUGGAAGCGACAAGCCACUUUGAUGUAGACACGGCUAUUGAGGUCAUAGCCUGUGCAGUACCAUUCCUGCGUCCCGAGCAGAUUCAUGUGGUGGACAAGGUGCAAAGCGCAGCUGUCACUUGCAUAAAGACAGGCAAGGACGCAGUCGUGUCAAAGGUUGUGGUAAAGCUACUGUUUUCUCUGUUAAAUAAUAAUCAUCUGAAGAAGUCAAGUGUAAUCCGGAUCUGGGAGAGCUUGAACGCGUGGCAGGCAGUAGAUAACAGCCCAGGAGCCACAACACGCAUUUUGCUUUGUUUGACUGCACUUUCUGACUACCUGCUUCCCAGCGCAGACACAGAUGCAACAGAAACCAUUGACCUGCGUGUUUCCGAAGGUUUCUGGGAGUUGGUGCAGAAAGGGUUGACGCAUCGGGAUAACGUGUCGCGAAAAAGGGCUUUGUAUUUGCUGAAGAGAUCUGUAGCGGUUUCAGAGGAGAUGAAAAGUGCCUUCCAAAGUUGCCAAUCCACUGAUAAUGCUGUCAGCCUGUUCUGGUGGUCCCCAGAGAGGAAUCGUCUGAUUGUGGACUUUUGGGAAGAUUACAUGCUGAUAAUGGAGACCUUGGAUGAAACCCAAAUUCAUCUUGUGAUGCCUGUUUUGCACAAGAUAAACAAACUAAUUGAGGCAACUGUUUCAGAAAGCCAAGACUGCCCACUCUUCCAUAUCUCCUGGCUCAUCUGUGUGUACAGAAGGAUGUUUGAUAGUGAAAAUAAAGCAGUGAUGAAGGAAGGUGUCUUGCAUCUUUUGAGUCUUCACGUGAUGAAAUAUCCUGUGUUUUCACAAGGGUUUGCUGAGUUCAUUGUCGGCCCAUUCGUGGAUAUUCUUUCUGAAAGCACACUGUUUAACAGGUCUGCUGACCAAGAGAUUGGGAGCUGCCCUGAAAUCAGUGUGAAGCUGCAAAAGUUUUUAGUAACAUUUACCUCCAGUUUGCCAGAAGAAAACAAAGGGAGGUUUUUGCUGCAGAUGGUUCAAAACCUGGCCAAUAGGCAUUGGUGUGCUGUGCCUAUUCUUUUCAUCUCUCAAGCACUGGCACAGGUUAAGGGAUGCAGAGCCUUUGGGGUGGAAGGCCUACACGCUCUUAGAGAAGUUUUGCGUUCCACUAUGAUCACACAUCAAGUCCUGAUGAGGGGAGCAGCCCAGUGUUACCUUCUCCAGACCGCUUUGAACUUGACACAUGUGCAAAUGGUAACCCUUGAAGAUGUUGCAAACUUCAUACAGCAUUUUAAAACAGACGAGUCUUUAAGUAGAGGAACAUUACUCUGGACUCAGCUUUGUGAUUGGCUGCAUGUCAAUGACAGUGUUUUCAAACCUAUGGAAGGUGUAUCUGUGUCUCAGCCAGGCAGGCCUGCAGUGAGUGUGUACGUACAGCACCUUGUGGAGGCGUACAUGAAGGUGCCUGCGGGAGAAGGAAACAGCUGCUUUAUGCCAGAUUGGUUUGAAGCUGAGCUUGUUGCUAAAAUGGUUCUUUUGGCUUCUGAUGUGGAGGAGAUACAGGGGCUGGAGAGUGAAACACAUAAACCGAAGCAGAAAGGACUGGAGCAGCUUUUGUACCCUCUUCUUGACGCUCUGCGGAGGCUCAGCACUAAUGUCUACCUGCCUGUCCUGAAGACUGACAAGAGCCUGCAGCUUCUCUUCAAACUGCUACACAUCUCAUACACUACAAGCAGCCCCAAGAGCCAUGAUACUGUCUUAACUACUUUGCAAGAUUGCAUACUUUCCACCACUGAUGAGGUUCUGGAAUAUAUUCUUCGGAGGCUCACCAGUGAGUUGUGUUUGCUUUCAGACCUGGGCCGCUGCUGUUUGUAUAUCUCAGUCUUGCGCGAGCUGGUGAAGCUGUACUCCGUGGUGGGCUGGAGAAGGGGAUCCCGCUUCUGGAGUUUCAUUAAAUCAUUAACAAAGAACUCUCUUUUGAACCUCCAAGCAAACCACACUGAGCAGGACCCACAGCUAGUGACACAAAUUCAGAAAGUCGUCAGCAUGUCCUCUUUGGCCUGGGUGUGUGAGGUCGCCAGUCAUAACACAGACCUUCAGAUUGUCUCGACUGAUGCUGUCAAAGCACUAAUAAACUACAUCUCAUCUGCAAAGCUAAACCAAACAUUAAUGAAGCCUGCAGCCUGCGAAGAGAGUCAGGGUCCACAAGAUGGCGCUACAUUACAAGGCUGGGGCAGAGUGGCAGCACAGUGUGUGCACGAUCAGUGGGCCUGUUUGCAUUUUGUAUUGAACAAAUUUGCCAAACUCCUGCCUUCAUCUUCAGACAUCCAGGCAAACGGAGAUCUUCAGAAUUCCAUGCCUGCUGUUUCCUGCCCCUCUAUGACUCUGCAGUGUGCAGUGGAAGCCCUGGCUAUCUUACCCUCUGACCAGGUCCUGCCUGUGUUGUCUUGCAUGAAGAUACUUGUUCCAAAGAUUUGGCGUUCAGACGCAUCACUGUGUGUUGAAUCUAUGAACCUGGCUUGGAAAGUUGUCAAAGACCUUAACAGCAAUCCACAGGACUUUUGGACAACCCUUGAAGCCUUCAUCCAAUUUGUCUUUGAUGCCAACCUCCUUCGUAUCACUGUUGAAGAUGGAUGCCUUAUUACUACAAAAGUGAAGGAGAUGGCUUCAAAAUUAAUCGACAUGUCUCACACAAAGACAGGAGUCUUUAACACACUGAUGAAACACUGCUGUCAGACGUGGAUGCCCUCUGUUUGUGAUGUAGACGGUCCUGUAGAUGAUUCGUUCACAAGCGCUCUAAAUCAUAUCGAGCUUUUCGCCGAGGCUUGUGUUUAUGGACCUGUUUUCAGGAGAGACCAACGGUUAAUUCAAGAUGUGCAUGCUUUCAUCCAGCAGCUUGGAGAAGACUGUGCUGCAAAUUUAGCCAUAACAAGUGAUAACAGAGAUGACCAGUAUCCACGGGUCUGUGCCAUUAACUUCUUGUGCCACUUGGAUCCGUUAAACCAGCUGCAUAAAGCAUUCAUGGAACAGCUUGCUCUCAGACUGCUUAAAAAGGAUGAAGAGGUGGCCAAAUCUAAAGUGCGAUACUAUACAAACUCUCUUCAACACAGAGUCAAGAACAGACUGUGGCAAACGCUCCUUGUUCUUCUUCCAAAACUCGAAGAGACGUUUGUUGUGGGAAUCCUUGACAAGGUGUACCAGGCUGGGUUCUGUAACAAUCAGGCUUCUGUGAAAUACCUGAUCGAGUGGUUUCUCAUGCUGACUCUCUACUGCUACCCCGAGCAGCUUCACACUUUCUGGGACUGCUUCCGUUACGAUCAAGAGAAAUCUAAAACCAGCAUCUGCACAUUUCUUUCUGUUUUAACGCACUUUGAUAUCCUUCUUGAGAAUGUCAUUGACAAGAGGACACACCUGAAGAAGGCUCUGGAUGUCAUUCUGCUCUGGUGUUUCAAUCACAAUUUCGCGGUUCGGCUGUACGCCUUGUUGGCCCUGAAAAAGGUCUGGAAUGUGUGCAGAUCAGCCUGCUCUGAAGAUGUGGAGUUUAAAGUUCUGGCACCAGUUAUUGAGGCUUGUCUGCAGCAAGUGGAAUACAUGCAGGGCUCUGGAAAUGCUAUGAAGAAUUGGCAGAGAAUUCAAGAACAUUUCUUUUUUGGGACAUUUCAUCCACUUAAGGACUACAGUAUAGAGUCGAUAUUCUACACCUUUCCCAGCCUGUCGGAUCUUGCGGACGAUGAAUGGAUUCCAUUGUGGAAGUUUUCAGAACUAGUGGAAUUUCCCACUAAUUCAUCAGUUUCAUUGAAUAAUCCUCGGAAAGAGCUUGGCGACCUGGAAACAGGAGAUUGGGUUCAGCAGGACAAAGGGGAGUGUGAGAAUGAUGCCCAGUGGAUAGACGUGCAGAAGAAGAUAAUCCCCUGGAAGAACAGCAUCCCUGAUCAGGACCUGGAGCUCCUGUACCAGGAACGAGCUGCCAGGCUGGGGAAGUUCAGCAACGCUCUCAUUGUAGUGGCUUCACUGAUCGACAAACCAACUAACCUGGGAGGUUUAUGUCGAACAUGUGAAAUCUUCGGGGCUUCUGCUUUGGUUGUCAGUGGCCUGCAUUAUAUAAAUGAUAAGCAGUUCCAGUCUCUCAGUGUUUCGUCUGAACAUUGGCUUCCCCUUGUGGAGGUAAAACCACCUCAGCUGAUUAACUAUCUACAGCAGAAGACAGCAGAAGGCUACACUAUCGUAGGUGUGGAACAGACAGCUAAGAGCCAGAGUCUCACGGAGUACACCUUUCCUGAGAAAACCUUACUGUUGCUCGGCCAUACUGCUGCAGAACACUGGACACAGCUUCGUGGUAGAUAUGAAUAGAGCGAAGGCCAGGCAAUCGCUGACGACGGGGAUGUCAAUGUCUUGUUGACGGAGCUGUAAAAGUUUUAACGGAGGUCCAGUCUGUUUAAUGGAGACGCGAAUAAAGUUAAUGGAGCUACGCUUUGAACAGUGCUGUUGCUGGGCUGGAUACUGGACAGAGCAGGAAAGACUAACGUUGGAGCUCCUGCAGCAAAAUAGAGAAACUGAAUGAUAAGCAUCACCUGAUAAUGAGCGUGAAGGGAUCCCGGCGAACCUGCUGCAGCACCUGGCCGUGUGCGUGGAAAUCCCUCAGCACGGCGUCACGCGAUCUCUCAACGUGCACGUGAGCGGCGCUCUGCUCAUCUGGGAGUACACGCACC
RNA transcript from Acipenser ruthenus (sterlet), 5202 nucleotides. It is a transcript of the gene named TAR (HIV-1) RNA binding protein 1, with no coding region annotated. The transcript has 31 exons. The record is from RefSeq and is a predicted model, not a curated record. Lineage: Eukaryota; Metazoa; Chordata; Actinopteri; Acipenseriformes; Acipenseridae.